This 791-nucleotide ribosomal RNA is filed under the name uncultured bacterium. RNAcentral's name for it is "bacterial SSU rRNA". It matches the Rfam family "Bacterial small subunit ribosomal RNA", at positions 8 to 794 of the family's 1533-position model. The record is from RNAcentral.
AGAGUUUGAUCCUGGCUCAGAGUGAACGCUGGCGGCAGGCCUAACACAUGCAAGUCGAGCGGCAGCGCGGGGGCAACCCUGGCGGCGAGCGGCGGACGGGUGAGGAACACAUCGGAAUCUACCUUGUCGUGGGGGAUAACGUAGGGAAACUUACGCUAAUACCGCAUACGACCUACGGGUGAAAGCGGCGGACCGCAAGGCGUCGCGCGAUUGGAUGAGCCGAUGUCCGAUUAGCUAGUUGGCGGGGUAAAGGCCCACCAAGGCGACGAUCGGUAGCUGGUCUGAGAGGACGACCAGCCACACUGGAACUGAGACACGGUCCAGACUCCUACGGGAGGCAGCAGUGGGGAAUAUUGGACAAUGGGCGCAAGCCUGAUCCAGCCAUGCCGCGUGGGUGAAGAAGGCCUUCGGGUUGUAAAGCCCUUUUGUCCGGAAAGAAAAGCAUUCGGUUAAUACCCGGGUGUGAUGACGGUACCGGAAGAAUAAGCACCGGCUAACUUCGUGCCAGCAGCCGCGGUAAUACGAAGGGUGCAAGCGUUACUCGGAAUUACUGGGCGUAAAGCGUGCGUAGGUGGUUCGUUAAGUCUGUCGUGAAAUCCCCGGGCUCAACCUGGGAAUGGCGAUGGAUACUGGCGGGCUAGAGUGCGGUAGAGGAGAGUGGAAUUCCCGGUGUAGCAGUGAAAUGCGUAGAGAUCGGGAGGAACAUCAGUUGCGAAGGCGGCUCUCUGGACCAGCACUGACACUGAGGCACGAAAGCGUGGGGAGCAAACAGGAUUAGAUACCCCGGUAGU